GCGCAGACGCAGACACAGGCGCUGAGCGGCGUCCCUUACUGGUAUAAGAAUGGCAGUGGAAUCAUCAGAAGGAUCUUUGAUAAUGUGGCUUCCUGCCUGUCCAAAACAAGAGUGCUCAUACAGCAGGAAAUUCAGUAUUCAGCAUUAGUCAGUCACUAUGUCCCUGCCAUGUGUGGAGUGUUCUUCUAAAUCCUGUGGGGGUGAUGAUAGCAGUGUUUCUUGGAGAAGCAUGUUGUAUAAAGGAGAAACAGGAUAAACACAAGUGUGACAGA
Molecule: long non-coding RNA, 272 nt
Organism: Lontra canadensis (Northern American river otter)
Lineage: Eukaryota; Metazoa; Chordata; Mammalia; Carnivora; Mustelidae
Exons: 3
Source: RefSeq, a predicted model, not a curated record